This 5508-nucleotide long non-coding RNA is filed under the name Setaria italica (foxtail millet). RNAcentral describes it as "long non-coding RNA (SITA_LNC005066)". Lineage: Eukaryota; Viridiplantae; Streptophyta; Magnoliopsida; Poales; Poaceae. The record is from RNAcentral.
AAAAAAAUACUAAAUUAUAUCUAACUAUUUGGCACCCUCUCACGGAUGGUCCAAUCCAUUUUGUCACUGACGAGUGGGGUAAUCUGGCAGGGCAAAUGGGCUGAUAUUCGCUUCGUAAUAGUGGCAAAAAGUAAAUUAGACCAGUAAAUUGUAUGAUGUAUUUACAAUUGUGAAGGGUCACUGGAUGCCUAGUGAUCUGAACAAACACUUUUUUCUUGAUAUCAGACAAAAUUACCAUACACACCAAUAGUUUCCAUCAUUACAAUGUAUAUGAUUUACGAGAACCACAAUUUACGAGAAUUAAGGGACAGGAUGACCCGAAAUUACCAGAAGAGCAGUGUAAGAAAUUUGGUUUUGCUCUAUAGAAAGGCACGGUAAGACCACAAAGGCAUCUAUCCAUAUGGCGUGAUCAGUUACUAUAAAAUGAGGCCCAAUUAACUAGAAUCCAAUAUCCUACAAUGCCUUCAGUAAAGUACCAGAACUUAUGGGUUACCACAAUGGCACCAUCAAAUUACCAGAUUGGAUCAUUAAUUUACUACAAAGGCAUUUACCAAAAACAAGAAAAUUAUGCAUUCGCAUUAUGAUAAUACAAUUUGACCACCAAUGUUUAAAAUGUCAGUCAGCCUGCAGUACUCAAAAUGCACCACAUUUUAAAUAGAAGGAAAUAAGCUGACCGACAGAAAUGCACCGCAAAAUUUCUCUGUCAAAAUUACAGUAACACCACAUUGGUUGACGUAACUUUCUGACAGUGAUUUACAAAAAACAUAAUUCAUAUUAACAUGAAUCCAUGAAUUUACUAUAACACUGACCAAGUUCCAUCAUAAUUCAAAAUAUUUAUUACCAGAUAAAAACAACAAGAACUCUAUAAAUACUAGUAAAAAAUAUGGUUAAUUUACCACAUAUUUUAUAUGUAAAAGUUUUGUACCACAACAAUGAUUGACGUCAAAUACUGACUAUGAUUUAUGAGAAAGACUGAUAAGUAUUUUAACAUGAAUCCAUUGUUUUACUUUAACAUUCAGGUUCCAACAUAAUUGAAAAUCCAAUUUCAUGCAAUUUAGAACCCAAAGCCAGAUAAAUCAAUCACAACUGUAUAACCUGGUGAAAUCGACAUAGCUCAGAAAAGUAGUAAAUUUACUGUGGCGGAACCGUCCAACUUAAACUGGUUUAAAUGCGCCUAAUUGCUGCCGACGCAGCAAUUAUCCGAAGCGCACUUAAAACAGUAUAAGUCCGGUCGUCCGUCGAGUGUCCCUAGGACUCCUCGAAAGAUCCAUGUCGUGUCUCAUAGUCAUACAUCAGGAUAGCAUCCGCGAUGGGAUAGCAUCAACAAAUAUUACAUUUUUACAUACAUACAAAAGGUACGAGUUAAUACAGAACAUAGUUUGAAGCAAACUUAAUAGUGCAGUGUUAGAUGAAGUUAUAGGACUUAAAACAUAAACGGUUCAGGUGGAGAUGAGCAUUUAAAAACUUCUUCUAAGGGUAUUGUGAGACUCAUAACAAUAUCCUAGGGCUUCGGGGCCUCCUCCUCAGUGGACUCCUGCGGUGCUUCUGAAAAGAUAGCCAUAAGGGAUAACCCUGAGUACGGGGUACUCAGCAAGUCUUACCCGACUAACCAAUAUAAUAGUUUUUCUUGGAAGUACAUGAUAGCUCUUUGGUGUGCUUGGUUGACAUAUUUUUGCCGAAAAGCUUACUACAAGUGAUGCCUUAGUUUUAUCUUUUAUUUGAGUUAAGUUGUUACCUAACCAUUCUAGACGAUGAGAAAAGAGUAAAUGCAACAAUAAGGUAUUAAGUCAUACAUCAAUCAUUAUCAGAAGGAUAUAACAUUCAUAGAUUUAUGCUAUGAUGCUCAACAGUGAUCAAGUGCAUUCAUAACCGAGAAUUGCGGCGAUCCGGAUCAUAUUACAUCCUGUAGGAGAGUACCCUGAUCACCAGUUAUAUACGACUGUCCAGGUCGUAUGUAACGACUUUUCGAUUAGCAAAACCAAUGACUGGGAAUAAGACUACCCGGACCCAGGGACGCACCCCCACAUGGGACCCCACGUCUGGCCCGAUCACCAUGUGAGUUUCAGGCUACGCCCCUGCCAAUCUCCAGCACGUCAAGCGCGGGUACGAAGUAUUCCCGAUCAGAGAGUUUACUAACCUACUGGGCUUUACUGGUCCCAUACCCAGUAAGUGAUCAGAUGAUUAUCACUUGAUCAAAGGUUAAGACAACGAAUCGGGCCUUAACCAAAUUAAUCUAGCAGACAGAACUACAUCCCUAGCUUCUGUCUGCUUCUCAAUUUCCAUACCAUCCUUUCAUAAAUAACAUGUAUGACUCAAAAGUUUUUCCCUAAGGUUGGUAAACCAAGCAUUUAAGCAACUAAGCAUUUCUAGACUUGGGCUAUCUACUAAAGGUUUGAACAAGUGGCAAAGAUAUCCUUAAAACAAGAUAUGAUCAUGCACAAGAAUGGGUUCCAAGCAACUCCUAGACUUAGUGCAUACAUAUAGCAAAUAGCUAAAUAUAGGACACAUGAAAUAUUGACUUCAAAAUAAUAGGUGUAAUGCACCGGGGCUUGCCUUGUUCGCUUAAAAAAUUAGCACUGUCCGAAGGGUUGGCCUUGCAGGGGACCAAUUCAAAGACUUCUUCAAACUCCGAAGAUCCUUCUAAAAAUUCCAAGUAAUCUCCUUCUGGCGCUUCGGGGUCUAUAGCACAACAUAUGCAGGGGUUAGGAAUGCAAAUUUUUGAAUAUAAGACUAUACAACUUUCCUUCAUGAUAAAGUUGCAAGCCAACAAGGACUAUACAAUUUAUCAUGAUAAAGUUGCAAGCCAACACACAAAAACCCGAAAAGAUUAGCCCGCAAUUUUUAUUUCCUUAAUUAACCUUACUUAAGGCCUUUCUUUUAUUUUUAGAAAAGGUUACCAUUAUUUUCUAACUUGAAAACCUAAUUUCCUAUGAGUUAAGAAUAAUUUGUGAUUAUGAAAAUGUUAUUCCAUAUUUUAUGCAUUUUAUAAAGAUUAAGUAUUUAUUUAAUUACCUUAAAAGAAAGGCAUUAAAUAAAUACCUAAAUUUUAUUAUUUUUCUAGGGUAUAAAAAUUUUAAUGCAUAAAGGAAAAUAAAACAAGCCUAACAAAAUUGGUUUCACUAAUUUUGGAUACUUCUAGAAAUUUCUGUGAUUUAAAUGGUGAGAUUCGGAUUUAAACUAAUUAUUCUAUAAAGAAAAUCUAAAUUUUCCCGAAAAACACCCCCGGGCAACUUUUCUCACGCGGCCCUACUCUACCCCCUCUCACUUGCGCUGGGCCCGUGGCGCGGACCCACCCCUUCUCCUAUUCCUUCUACCCGUCGGCCUACUUCUCCCCCGGCCGGGCACUACUGGGCCGAUUCUUCUUUCUCCUUCUCUUUUCACCCGCGACGGCCCAACGGCCCACUUUUCUUUUUCUUCUUUUUCCGCAGCGGCGGCCUGCUAGCUUCUCUGGGCCUCCGGCCUUCCUCUCCCACCGGCCACUCGCAUGCGCACCUGGGCCUCCGAGACCGCGGCCCAACUGGCCUUCGCGUUCGGCUGGCCUGCUCCCUUUCCUUCUCUUCCCCACUGACGCGCGGGCCCAAGGCUCCAGCGCCUUCUUCUUCCUCCCGCCAAAUCCCGCGCGCGACAGGGGGCGGCGCGGCUCGCCGGCCAGCGCCCUACCGGCGACGGGGCUAGGCCGGGGAAGCAUCCCCAUACCCUAGCGCACCCGUGCGCGGCGACAGCUCCUCGGGAGAUGGCCGGAGCCACUCCCUCCACGACGGCGGGCGGCGGCACCUACGGCCGGUCGCGGCCACGCACGACGACGGCGCAAACUAUCCCAACGACUAUUACUGCACCAUCCUAGCAUCCCAAGGACCUGCCUAAGGCUACCCAAGAAGGAAGAGAACAAACGCAAGGAGGUGCUCACCGUGAGCAGGAGGCGCGGCGACGACGGACAGAAACGGCGGCGGUUUAUGGCGUGCCGGCGGAGAGGCUGGGCAACAAGCUGCUAGGGUUGCUGGUGGGGUGUGGGUGGAGGUGUGGACGGAGGGAAUCGACGAGAGCGGCGGUGUGGUGGGAGUAUUUCACCCGGCGGCGGCGGCUUGGACAGAGGAGAUGGCGGCAGUAAAAAGAACAGCGGUAGAAGCGGCGGCGCGGGAGCGGUAGUUAUUCAAGCUUUCACCGCGCGCAUGGUUGCCACCGUGGUCUACUCGUAGGCUUGCGUGGUGAAGAGGUGGCGUAGCUGCUGCGCUGGCGAGCGACCGACGACGGCGGCGGCGACACAUCCUGCCUGCUCUGUCAUCCUCCCCCUCCUUAUCUCUGGCGCCCGAAACUUCAGAGCUCCACCGCGGCCGAUUUCAAAUCCGACGGUCCCCAAGUCGUUUAGACAAAGUUGUAGAUAAACUUGAAUCCUUCAACUUUUAUUUUGGCUCUACCCCGAGAUAAACAUCCGAGCACAGUGAAAUUCGAAUUUUCCUUUCUGCUUCAACUGAAUUUCACUGAUCUCAAAGUUCAGUUCGUCAGUUAUCUGACAGUGCCAUUUACCUCACUUUGUGAAUGAGUUCAGUGAUCCAAAUCCUUUCCUUGUAGUCCAACUUCCUCCCAAUUGUGUUCUACCAUCUUCAAGGAUUCCAUUUUGCCCAAAAACACCUACACCUUUUGAUCUACAUUCCUCUAAAAUCAAUUCCAAAGUCGGCCAUGUACUGCUGUUUUCAGACUUAGCCAUUUUCAGCAAAGCUGCCUACUGUGACAAAGUGCCGACUUUAGGCCUCCAUUUGAAAUGGUUCCCUCUACUAUUCCUGAUCAACAACACCCAAUUCUAGGAGUCCAAAGUCCACACUUCAUUAUUAUGUAGUUGUCUUGGUCCACUUAUUUGGAAAAAUUAGUCAGAAUUUAAUUUCCAAAAUGGACUCGGCUGUUGUUUUCUGAAUUUCCUAUUGUCGGAUGGUGAAUAGUACAUUUCGGUUUUUACUUUCUUUCUUUGAUUCUUUUGAGAUAUUUAGGACCAGUUCUGUUCCAAAUUCUUGAUCCUCAAGUUCUAAUCACCCUUACACCUUUAUUCCAUAUUUUUGCCGAAUUUUUCUGAAUUUCAAAUUCAAAAUUCAAAUUUCGGUCAAAUUUGACCUGAAUUUGAUUUUUGGCCAAUUUCUUUUUCUUUUCUUCACGAAUUGCUUCCAAUUCUUCAAAGUCACUUUGGUGACUAAAAUGGCAAGGUAUUACAUUUACUAUGGCGCCGAGUCAAUGAAGAUCUAGUAAAUUAGGAGAAUUUGUACUAUGCAGCCUGUUAAUUUACUGAGUGAUCUAUCAUUGAAAAGUAUAUUUGGCUACAACAGGAACUCCCAAUGUUACACACAGCUAAUCAGACAAAAAAAAUAGGCUAAACCUGAUGAAAUCGGCAAAAUUAAAAAAAAAGUAGUAAAUUAUAUGCUUAAUUUAGUACUUUACAUGUCAAUAAUGUACUACGCAGCUUGGUAAAUUAUUAUUUUGUCAGAACUGGAAUUCAUGAGCCUAAUAGCAAAGAGAUGAAGU